RNAcentral lists this unclassified non-coding RNA (294 nucleotides) under fungal sp. Its description in RNAcentral is "partial internal transcribed spacer region". The stretch from base 1 to 46 matches the Rfam family "Eukaryotic small subunit ribosomal RNA", at positions 1786 to 1831 of the family's 1831-position model. The record is from RNAcentral. Lineage: Eukaryota; Fungi.
AAGUCGUAACAAGGUUUCCGUAGGUGAACCUGCGGAAGGAUCAUUAAUGAAAUGAUAAUUUUUUGGGGUUUUCCCUGAAAAAUAAUUCACCUUUUGUGCAUUGUUAUUAGAUAUACUUUGGUUAGAGCUUUGAUUUCAUUUUUGAAGUCAACUUCUUGCUGACUCUAUCCUAUUAUAUGGGACAGUUGGCUAUGAAGCGGCCUACCAAGGUUUUUUUAUCAACCACUUUUAUUUUGUCUGACCUAAAUCAUAACAAUAAAAUCAUAACUUUCAACAACGGAUCUCUUGGCUCUC